GAGGGAGCAAAGAUACCCUCGGAUGGAAACAAGCAGGAAGAAGAAGGAGACUGAGAGGUUAUAAUUUUGUGUUCAACAGAUGUGGAACAAAUCGUUCUAGGGGGUGAGAAGGAACGAAAAUUCACCUAAAACUAGUUCCGUGGAACAGCGCGUUCCACCCGUUUUAGGCGCACCAAAUGUGGGACGGAACGCCUCGCCCCACUUUGUUCCAUCCCGUCCUGUCCCACGUACCAAAUAGUACCUUAAAUCACAUGACAUCCAAGGGCUCUUAUUUAUUCAUUAAAUGACAUGGAUACUUAUAUGGAUUUUAACUAACAUUAAAAAAAUAAAAAUAAAAAGGCAUAAAAUCUAAAAGGAAUUAAAAAUAAAAUUAAAUGGGAAGAAGAAAUAUGAUUAUCAAAUGAAUACCUAUAUUAUAAUUUAUAACCAAACUACAAAAAAUUUCAAAUUAAAGAAAUAUGAUCUGAGAUAGAAAUGAAUAGUCCACUUUUUUUUUUUAAAAGCUCACUAAAUUAGAUUUAUAAAAAUAAAAAAUAAAAACUUAAAAACAAAAUGAUUGUCAAAUACGCUCUUAAACUUUUCUCUCAGAAUCUUUCAGACGUUACCUACUUUUAUCAUAAAGAUAAGCAUCCAUUUCCCUAAUGUCCCUCCUCUUUUGUAAACAUUAUCGUUCUUUUCUCCUUUUGAAACCUGGACGAGUGUAAGACAUUGGCUAACCAUGGCUGACUAGCUAGACUGGUUAAGGUCGAACUGACCAAACCAGCCACAGUUGUGGGUGGAUCGGUUAGGCCAUUUCAUAGUCGUGACCCUUUUUUCUAAUAUUUUAAAGAUAAAGUGAAUAAUUUCAUAAUAUUUAGCAUGACUGUAAAAAGUAUUCGUAGGGUUGAAAGAUGACUCUUAUUCAACGGGUAUCUUGGUGUGUGUAAAUUUGUAAUAUCAUAUUCCAGCGAAGAUCACAAAAUUUUGCUUUUAUGGCUGCCAAUGACUUAGAAGAACUCCUUCUAAAUUGUUGGAUAAGCAAGUAGAAUUAAAUUGGAAUAUGAAGGGAAAGACAAAAAAAAAAAAAAAAAAAAUGUUCACCUUUAAGGGGGUGUUUACUAAACUGGAAUGGAGGUAGAAGAAAGGGAAUUGAAUUCCUUUCCAAGUGAUUCUGGCAUUUAACAAAUUUUGGGAAUGAAAAAAUUUGUGAGCUCCACCCAAAAUCAGUAAUCGAAUCCCUGAUAUCCCCGGAAUCCAAUUAUUGACUUGAAGGUGGUAAUUGAAUUAGGAAGAAAGCUAACAUCCGGAAUCAAACUUCUCUACGGAAAUUGCCCUGCCCCUCCCAUCUGCCUCCCACGAUUCAACCACCCAAAGCACACACCCAUCCCCACCCAUAACCAACGUAGACCACCGUACCACCUCCUAGACUGCCAAGACCUAUCACCAACCUGAAGGAUUAUUUUGUGAAAACAUGUUCAUUUGAAUAACAUCUAUAGCAUGCAAUUAACAAUUAAAAGGCGGAAUCAUGCUUGUAUGCAUUCAAAAACAAAACAUUAACCAUGAAAUUCAAAGCCUAGUAGAUUGGUGAACCAAGACUCAACUCAAAUC
This 1587-nucleotide long non-coding RNA is filed under the name Malus domestica (apple). RNAcentral describes it as "long non-coding RNA (MDOM_LNC014012)". The record is from RNAcentral. Lineage: Eukaryota; Viridiplantae; Streptophyta; Magnoliopsida; Rosales; Rosaceae.